AGAGUUUGAUCCUGACUCAGAACGAACGCUGGCGGCGUGCCUAACACAUGCAAGUCCAACGUGAAAGGGGAGCAAUCCCCCGGUAGGGUGGCAAACGGGUGAGUAAUACAUGGGUGAUCUACCUUAGGGAUGGGGAUAUCCUUCCGAAAGGAGGGGCAAUACCGAAUAUUGUCCGGGACCGUGAAGGGUUUCGGGGAAAGGGAGGCCUCUGACACAAGCUUUCGCCUUAAGAUGAGCCCAUGGCCCAUCAGCUAGUUGGUAGGGUAAAGGCCUACCAAGGCUACGACGGGUCGCUGGUCUGAGAGGACGACCAGCCACACUGGCACUGAGAUACGGGCCAGACUCCUACGGGAGGCAGCAGUGAGGAAUAUUGCGCAAUGGGGGAAACCCUGACGCAGCAACGCCGCGUGUGGGAAGAAGGCCUUCGGGUCGUAAACCACUUUUACUCGGGACGAAAAAGGGAUAUCAAACAAAUAUCCCCGAUGACGGUACCGUGAGAAUAAGCCACGGCUAACUCUGUGCCAGCAGCCGCGGUAAGACAGAGGUGGCAAGCGUUGUUCGGAAUUACUGGGCGUAAAGAGUCUGUAGGUGGUUUGUCAAGUCUUUGGUGAAAGGCCGUAGCUUAACUAUGGGAAUGCCAAAGAGACUGGCAGGCUGGAGGCUGGGAGAGGGAAGCGGAAUUUCUGGUGUAGCGGUGAAAUGC
Molecule: ribosomal RNA, 703 nt
Filed under: uncultured bacterium
Lineage: Bacteria
Description: bacterial SSU rRNA
Rfam family: Bacterial small subunit ribosomal RNA
Source: RNAcentral